RNAcentral lists this ribosomal RNA (672 nucleotides) under Triticum aestivum (bread wheat). RNAcentral's name for it is "partial small subunit ribosomal RNA". The record is from RNAcentral. Lineage: Eukaryota; Viridiplantae; Streptophyta; Magnoliopsida; Poales; Poaceae.
AUGGAUCGGUCCCUGCGGGAGAAAGAGAAAAUGAGGGAGAGAGAAGGAAGGAGAGGAAGGAGAAAGAGAGAGGAAAGAGGAGAGGGAGGUGCAGCGUUGACCGACGGCUCGCGCGGUGGUGCUGCAGACGGCGGCCUCAGUGGGUGUGCGACGACACCAUGCAGCUCCUGUGCCGCGCAACCCUCUCCUCGCAGGCUCAACAGGAGGUUCCCGAGCCAGCUCGGGCCGCUGCUACCUCUUCCUCGCCGCCCAACAGAGUGCUUCAAGAUCGAUCCAAUGAUCCACUGCCGCUCUGUUGUUGGGGCUAAUUUGCACGGGAAUGGUGAUUUCAUGGUUGAUUAUGGUUACUUGGUUCUUGCUCUUGGAGUUACUGUGAAUACAUUCAACACUCCUGGUGUGAUGGAGCAUUGCCACUUUCUAAAGGUAGUGGAGGAUGCCCAACAGAUUCAGAAGAGCGUGAUAGACUGCUUUGAAAAGGCGUCACUUCCUGAAGAGGAGAAAAGGAAGAUCCUUCACUUUGUGAUUAUCGGUGGUGGACCUACUGGGGUUGAAUUUGCCGUGGAGUUGCAUGAUUUUCUUGUCGAAAAUCUGGUGAAGCUAUAUCCUGCAAUUGAAGAAAACUCUCAACUCCUACUUGCGCUCCGCCUCUUCCUCCUUUUCAUCGCUCAAUAG